UCUGGUCGAUGGAACAAU
This 18-nucleotide small nuclear RNA is filed under the name Arabidopsis thaliana (thale cress). Its description in RNAcentral is "snRNA_15730". The record is from RNAcentral. Lineage: Eukaryota; Viridiplantae; Streptophyta; Magnoliopsida; Brassicales; Brassicaceae.